Long non-coding RNA from Pyrus x bretschneideri (Chinese white pear), 705 nucleotides. RefSeq lists it as uncharacterized. The transcript has 2 exons. NCBI's taxonomy places the organism in Eukaryota, Viridiplantae, Streptophyta, Magnoliopsida, Rosales, Rosaceae. The record is from RefSeq and is a predicted model, not a curated record.
AGCAAAUGUGAUUGGUGGGGUGGCUCCUUGUGCUAUAAGAUAUAAAAGGGUGUGUGUGUGUGUGACAAGGACAUGGCACCAAGAGCAAAAUGUGAUACAUGAUAGGCCUGCACUGCAAAGGGAAUGGAAGUGAACACAUUGUCAUAGAAAACAGUGACUUUAAAAACUUCACCCUUUCUCUAAGCAAUACCUACAUUUCAUCUUCCAUUCCAUUCCUUUCUCUUACUGUUUAUUUCUUCUCUCAUUUGGUUUCACCUACAUGAGCGCCACAUCCUCUUCUCCAAAUGGGGUGGCUGCACUCCAUCUUCUCUCCUCUUAAGAAGAUGUGGUUUCGCUUCCAUUCCGCUCCGAAGAAAAGAAGAGGGAUUUACAUUCUGUAUGAGGAUGUAAAAUCCUGCCCCGAUGAGGAUGUGCAUGUUCUGUGGUCAAUACUAGUGGAGGCCCAUGCACAUACACGUACUACACCUUCUUUGCCUUUGCCACCAUCAAAACCAUGAAUUCAUAUAUGAAGGCUCCAAUGUUCUUCAUAGCAUAUGAGUGAGCGAGAUUUCCUGCUGCCAAGUAUAUACACUAUUUAAAUACACACACACACACACACACACACACAUAUAUAUACUUUAUUUUGAUACUGGGUGUACAUGUAAAAAGGUUUUUCCUCAGUUUCCGUUCCAGUAAAUUUAAUAUUGAAAUAUGCCUUUCUUGUGA